GCAAGUCGAACGAGAAAGCUUCUUCGGAAGCAAGUAGAGUGGCGCACGGGUGAGUAACGCGUAAGUUAUCUACCCUCCCAUCUGGAAUAACUCACCGAAAGGUGUGCUAAUACCGGAUACGUUGGAAACAAGAAAGGUGGCCUCUAUUUAUAAGCUACCGUGGGGAUGAGCUUGCGUACCAUUAGCUAGUUGGUAGGGUAAUGGCCUACCAAGGCAACGAUGGUUAGCGGGUCUGAGAGGAUGAUC
RNAcentral lists this ribosomal RNA (246 nucleotides) under uncultured bacterium. RNAcentral's name for it is "partial 16S ribosomal RNA". It matches the Rfam family "Bacterial small subunit ribosomal RNA", at positions 57 to 305 of the family's 1533-position model. The record is from RNAcentral.